GGGCCCGCACAAGCGGUGGAGUAUGUGGUUUAAUUCGAUGCAACGCGAAGAACCUUACCAGGGUUUGACAUCCUGCGAAUCUCUUGGAAACAGGAGAGUGCCUUCGGGAACGCAGUGACAGGUGGUGCAUGGCUGUCGUCAGCUCGUGUCGUGAGAUGUUGCGUUAAGUCGCGCAACGAGCGCAACCCCUGUCCUUAGUUUCCAUCAUUUAGUUGGGCACUCUAGGGAGACAAACCCUCUCUGAGGGUGGGAAGGUGGGACGACGUCAAGUCAGGAUGGCCCUUACGGUUUUGGGCUGCACACGUGCUACAAUGCCUGGUACAGAGGGAAGCAAUACCGUGAGUGGAGCAAAUCCUCAAAACCCAGGCC
This 369-nucleotide ribosomal RNA is filed under the name uncultured bacterium. Its description in RNAcentral is "bacterial SSU rRNA". It matches the Rfam family "Bacterial small subunit ribosomal RNA", at positions 917 to 1288 of the family's 1533-position model. The record is from RNAcentral.